Molecule: ribosomal RNA, 857 nt
Filed under: Salmonella enterica
Lineage: Bacteria; Pseudomonadati; Pseudomonadota; Gammaproteobacteria; Enterobacterales; Enterobacteriaceae
Also listed under: 3 other names
Description: partial 23S ribosomal RNA
Rfam family: Bacterial large subunit ribosomal RNA
Source: RNAcentral
AGACCCGAAACCCGGUGAUCUAGCCAUGGGCAGGUUGAAGGUUGGGUAACACUAACUGGAGGACCGAACCGACUAAUGUUGAAAAAUUAGCGGAUGACCUGUGGCUGGGGGUGAAAGGCCAAUCAAACCGGGAGAUAGCUGGUUCUCCCCGAAAGCUAUUUAGGUAGCGCCUCGUGAAUUCAUCUCCGGGGGUAGAGCACUGUUUCGGCUAGGGGGCCAUCCCGGCUUACCAACCCGAUGCAAACUGCGAAUACCGGAGAAUGUUAUCACGGGAGACACACGGCGGGUGCUAACGUCCGUCGUGAAGAGGGAAACAACCCAGACCGCCAGCUAAGGUCCCAAAGUCAUGGUUAAGUGGGAAACGAUGUGGGAAGGCCCAGACAGCCAGGAUGUUGGCUUAGAAGCAGCCAUCAUUUAAAGAAAGCGUAAUAGCUCACUGGUCGAGUCGGCCUGCGCGGAAGAUGUAACGGGGCUAAACCAUGCACCGAAGCUGCGGCAGCGACACUCAGGUGUUGUUGGGUAGGGGAGCGUUCUGUAAGCCUGCGAAGGUGGCCUGUGAGGGUUGCUGGAGGUAUCAGAAGUGCGAAUGCUGACAUAAGUAACGAUAAAGCGGGUGAAAAGCCCGCUCGCCGGAAGACCAAGGGUUCCUGUCCAACGUUAAUCGGGGCAGGGUGAGUCGACCCCUAAGGCGAGGCCGAAAGGCGUAGUCGAUGGGAAACGGGUUAAUAUUCCCGUACUUGGUGUUACUGCGAAGGGGGGACGGAGAAGGCUAUGUUGGCCGGGCGACGGUUGUCCCGGUUUAAGCGUGUAGGUGUGUGUUCCAGGUAAAUCCGGUUCACUUUAACACUGAGGCGUGA